Molecule: ribosomal RNA, 406 nt
Filed under: uncultured bacterium
Lineage: Bacteria
Description: partial 16S ribosomal RNA
Rfam family: Bacterial small subunit ribosomal RNA
Source: RNAcentral
AUUUAACGCUGGCGGCAGGCCUAACACAUGCAAGUCGACCGCGUGGCGGACGUGUGUGUAAUGUCUGGGAAACUGCCUGAUGGAGGGGGAUCACUACUGGAAACGGUAGCUAAUACCGCAUACCCUCGUCUGUGCCCAGAUGGGAUUAGCUUGUUGGUGGGGUAACGGCUCACCAAGGCGACGAUCCCUAGCGGGUCUGAGAGGAUGACCAGCCACAAUGGAACUGAGACACGGUCCAGACUCCUACGGGAGGCAGGAGUGGGGAAUAUUGCACAAUGGGCGCAAGCCUGAUGCAGCCAUGCCGCGUGUAUGAAGAAGGCCUUCGGGUUGUAAAGUACUUUCAGCGGGGAGGCGUUACCCGCAGAAGAAGCACCGGCUAACUCCGUGCCAGCAGCCGCGGUAAUUC